AUUCCAGCUCCAAUAGCGUAUAUUAAAGUUGUUGCGGUUAAAAAGCUCGUAGUUGGAUUUCUGGUGGGAGCGUUGGGCCGGCCCUAAGGGUCUGAGCUCAAAUGUUUUCCGCCAUCCUUGGAGGGAUGUUGUCUGGCAUUAAGUUGUCGGGCUUCCGAUCUCCAUCGUUUACUGUGAAAAAAUUAGAGUGUUCAAAGCAGGCUUAUGCCGUUGAAUACAUUAGCAUGGAAUAAUAAGAUAGGACCUUGGUACUAUUUUGUUGGUUUGCGUACCUAGGUAAUGAUUAAUAGGGACAGUUGGGGAUAUUACUAUUUCGUUGUCAGAGGAGAAAUUCUUGGAUUUACGAAAGAGUAACUACUGCGAAGGCAUUUAUCAAGAAUGUUUUCAUUA
RNAcentral lists this ribosomal RNA (390 nucleotides) under Bolidophyceae sp. Its description in RNAcentral is "partial small subunit ribosomal RNA". It matches the Rfam family "Eukaryotic small subunit ribosomal RNA", at positions 582 to 975 of the family's 1831-position model. The record is from RNAcentral. Lineage: Eukaryota; Bolidophyceae.